UGCCCGCAGCGGGGACACGGCGGCGCGGAGCACUGCGACCCCCGACACAUCGGCCGCCGCGACCGCCCGAGGCUCCGGAUCUCCACACCGUGAGCGAGCCCGUCUGCGCAGAGGCACCGGCCCUAACUUGUUAGAGCAGCGAACUGGAAACUAAUACCUCCAGCUCUGUCCGGUCACAUGCACGCUCGCUUAGCGCGGCCGCGUCGGCCCGGCCGCACCCCAGCAGGCUGCCUCUCCGACCAUUGGCCAGAGCUGGGUCACAUGGCCGCACCUAAGCCAAUGGCUAGCAAGAGGAGGGGCUGACAUUACGACGAUCCUGUUCGGCCUAUCAGCAUUCGCCUCUGGGCUGGGGUGGCCCGCCCCUCAGUUGCAGAUAAUGCUGCCUCCUUACGGCCCGAAAUGCGUUCUCUCUGCGGGGAAGGGGUUGGGGUGGGGGCCCUUGGGGGUGGCGUGGAGGAGUUGCGGCGGGAAUGGGCGCGUAUUGAGCAGGAGGGGCCUGGAAGCCAGGUUGAAAAGCCAGGACUUUGUCUAGGGGCCAUGGGGAGCCACGGGGGGCGUGUGAGGGGGGAGGGCGAUCCCAUGAAGGCGUUAUCAGGCCCGGCUCUGAUCAGGGUUUUCCCAGUGCACCCACCACGCCCGAGUCUGCAGUCGCUGCCUUGGCUGUCAGCAUCCCAUGCCCUAUCAGAGGACUCACGGGGCUGCCACAGUCCCGCAGGUUUCAGACCCUAGUGCAGGGGCAGUAGACCUAAGUUGAUGUGGAGUCCAUCACAAGCCUUGUUCCGAUUGAGGACGGCGGGAGGAGGUGACCCUGAGAGUUCUGGGGUUAUAUCCUGGAGGCAGGGGUUGUGAUUCCUACAGCCCCUGCAGACCUGCUGCUCUGGGUCCUAAAGGCUCCUCUUGAAUAAAACAUAAACGCGCUUCGUGAAAGCUGGGUCUGUCCACUGCAAGUGACAGAAACUCAGCUUAAUGGACUUCAUUUUAUUGGGUGGAGGAAUUCAGGCACAGCUGGAUCCAGGACUUCCAAAAACAGUACAGGGAGUUUCUGCUGCCCCUCCUGGCUCAGUGUCCCACUGCCCUGGCUUCUCCCUGGCCAUUGGUAGAAUCCACCUGCAGCUCCAGGCUCAUACUUCUCCAGCUCAGGCAAGAAGUGGGUGUCUCUUUCCCAGAAAAAAAUCUCAGAGGUGACUCCUCCUGGUUUGUUGAGUGCCAGAUGAUCCUAAUUGGCUGAGCCUGGGUUGGUGCCACUCCUGGGAUCAUUUGGGCUGGGAGCACAGGAGGUGAAAAUUUGGUGCUGGGACCAGAACAGGGGGAUGCCAGCUACAAUCUGGGGCCUGGCCGUCAUUGUCCAAUCCAGAAUAGGAGGGCCUUGCCCCACAGCUCAGCAUAUGGGUCCUGGAAUCUUGCUUAUGCCAGUCCCAACACUGUGGGGCUUUGUGACUGCCAGAAAGUCACUUUCCUUCCUCCACCCUCUCUAAAACGGGUGCCUGUCUCACAGCAUCAUGGUGAGUGGCAAAGAAGACUCAUGCAUCUUCCCUGGACAAACACCUAUCUGCUAAUUAAUGCCAUGCCCCUGCUGUGCACCAGGCACUUUCCCUGGCAUCCUCGGUGGUAUCUACAGCACUGGGAUCUGUGCCCAUUUUACAGAUGAGAAAAGGGGGCACAGAAAGGUCACACACGUGGCCUGGCCGAGGUGGCACAUCCUGCACUGGGCUCCCACCGGAAGUCUCCUCCCUCCAGGCCUCAGGGUCACCUCCUUGGAGACCCCGCAACCUUCCUGUUCCCAGGGCCUGUGUCCUGCCACCUGUCUUCAUCCUUGUGUUCACUCCCUUGUUUGUUUCCAGCCGACAGGGACCCUAUCGCUGUGGCACCAAGCCCAAUCUGCAGGGCCUGCCUAUUGCUGCUGUAACAAAUUGCCACAAACUUGGCAACAUAAAACAACACAAAUUUGUCUCUUCUAGCUCUGGAGGGCAGAAGUGCAACGUGGGUCUCACUGAACUAAAAUCGAGCCUCUAGAAGCUACUCCCCUUCCUGCGUUCAAGGCGCCUUCCUCCACCUCCACCGCGGGCGACGGCAGGUCACGUGCUCCUCUGUGACCACAAAGGGAAAUGGUCUCUACUUUUGAUGACCCUCUGAUUCCACCGGGCCCACCUGUGUAAUCCAGGACCAACUCCCCAUCCAAACGUUUGAGCCUCUACAAACCGUGGGCGUGGCGAUGACAAGACUGGGUCAGCCUUGGUCGCCCUGGUACCCCAGCACCCCUCAACAGUCCUUGCCGUAAGAAGACAGUCAUUAUUUCUUAGAAACUCAAACAGAGAGGGGCUGUACAGGAUCCAUGAGCAUUGGGAGCGUGCCCUGACCAUUUGGGAACCCCCAAGGAUAGGAGCGAUGAGCUCCAAAAUGGAGGAGCAUCUGGCUGCCCCAAGGCUCCAGGGGGUUCAGUUCUUUCCAGGGCCAUGCUGAUGUCUGAUGCCACUGUCAUAAAUUGUGGAAAGCCUGGUAUUCCGGGUGGCCAAGGCUAAGAGCACAGAACCUGAAAAGAGGAAAAAACCCUAAGCCAUAAAUGCUUUUCCACGUGGCCUGGGAGGACCGUUUGCAAAGGUCUGGGGGCGGUGGGGGUGGGGGUGCGCGUGUGGUCGGUGUCGUCUCCCGAAGUCCAGACCCAGGGGCCACACUUUGGAAGUCUUGAGGAAGGAUCACUGCUGUCCCUGGCGCUGGGACCAUUUGUGGCUCUGGGUCUCCUGCUGCCCCA
Ailuropoda melanoleuca (giant panda) is the source of this 2749-nucleotide long non-coding RNA. RefSeq lists it as uncharacterized. The transcript is spliced from 3 exons. Lineage: Eukaryota; Metazoa; Chordata; Mammalia; Carnivora; Ursidae. The record is from RefSeq and is a predicted model, not a curated record.